CCUCUCUCUCUCUCUCUCUCUCUCUCUCUCUCUCUCUCACACACACACACACACACACAUUUAAAACCCAUCAGCCAACCAUGGCUUCCCACUUUUCUCUCUCCGCCGUUUCUCUCAUCACCCUCCUCUUCCUUGCUGCAACCGCCUCGUCGGACGCCGCCUAUUCCAUCACCAUCUGUCACAUCCCGACCCUUAAAUUUUUACCUUAUUUACUAGCUUGGUUAUAAUAAGAGUUUUACCGUCUCCGUCAUUGAGGUAAUAGUUUAAUCGGUCCCUAGAGGUGUUUUGAGGGACGAUUAAUUUCGGGGAAUUAUUCGUGGGAGAAAAUAUGACGACGGUAAAAAUGGUAAAUUUUAGCUAGUAAAAGGUAAUUUUUAUUAGGGUAUUAUUUUAGGGUGUAAUUAUUUUUAGUGGAGUUGGGUAUAUUAGGCUUGGACUGGUUUGGGUGGAGGCCCAAAACCCACUCUUCUCUUCUCUCUUUUUCUUCCCGGUUUUCCUCUCCCCGAGUCCUCCACUGCCCAACUUUCCGGCCGCUCGUCCGCCGCCGUCCAGCCGUUUGGGACUGCCGCACCGGUCACGUUCGGUCGGCCUCCGACCCAGCUACAUCCCUAGACCGGUAACAGCUCCUCUAGCGCCGCCGUGAGUGAGGAUCGACGCCCGGAGCCGCUAGCUGCCGUGGUGGUCCUCUCGCCGGAGCUCCCUCCUCCGGCCACCAAAACCGGCGAUCCUUAGCUCAUUUUGUAGCCCUCCUCCCGUGCAGCAACCCCUCCAAACAGCUCACCCUCUCUUGAGCUAGGUAAGGAGAAAUGUGAAGUUGAAAUUAGGGGUGGCAAUUUGGACCCUGGCGAUACCAACCAACCAUGUACCAACCGUACCAAACAGAUUGGUAUGCCAAGUAGUUGGUAACCGAGUUUUCGGUACAGUACUACCGUACCAAGUUUUAGAAGUCGGUUGGUACAUGGUACAGAUUUUCCCAAAAUACAGUAUACCAUGUACCAACCGAGUUAUAUUAAAAAAAAUAAAAAUAAUUAAACCUAUUAAUCUAAGCCGUUGAUCUUUGUGGACUGUGGAUCUAUUCUCAGUAACUCACCUCUCACGCUCGCCUCUCUCGCCUCAUCUCUCUGCUUCGCAGCACCACGCGGCUCCGCCACCUAGACUUCGCAACACCUCCUCGGCUCCGCCACCUCGCCUCUCUUGUCGUCAACGCAGCAGCACCUCGGCCACAUCGACUCGGUAGCGCUAAGGGCAGCGCCUCGACUCUCCGACGAAGGG
RNAcentral lists this long non-coding RNA (1272 nucleotides) under Fragaria vesca (wild strawberry). RNAcentral describes it as "long non-coding RNA (FVES_LNC004432)". The record is from RNAcentral. Lineage: Eukaryota; Viridiplantae; Streptophyta; Magnoliopsida; Rosales; Rosaceae.